This 2196-nucleotide ribosomal RNA is filed under the name human gut metagenome. RNAcentral describes it as "bacterial LSU rRNA". It matches the Rfam family "Bacterial large subunit ribosomal RNA", at positions 14 to 2205 of the family's 2925-position model. The record is from RNAcentral.
AGGGCAACAGGUGAAUGCCUUGGCGCUGAGAGGCGAUGAAAGACGCGGUAAGCUGCGAUAAGCAUCGGGGAGGAGCUAAACAUCCUACGAUCCGAUGAUUUCUGAAUGGGGAAACCCGAUGGGAGUCAUGUCCCAUCAUCCUGAGCUGAAUAUAUAGGCCCAGAGAAGCCAACCCGGGGAAGUGAAACAUCUCAGUACCCGGAGGAAGAGAAAUCAAACGAGACUCCCAAAGUAGCGGCGAGCGAAAUGGGAAGAGCCCAAACCGAGUGGUUUCGACCAUUCGGGGUUGUAGGGCCGGCAUACGCGAUUCUGGAGUAGGCAGAGGAAGUGAGCUGGAAAGCUCCGCCACAGCGGGUGAUAGCCCCGUACUCGAAACCGAAAAGGACGCAGCCGGUACCUGAGUACUGCGAGGCACGUGGAACCUCGUGGGAAUCUAGGGGGACCAUCCUCUAAGGCUAAGUACUCCUCAGCGACCGAUAGUGAACUAGUACCGUGAGGGAAAGGUGAAAAGAACCCCUGUUAGGGGAGUGAAAUAGAAUCUGAAACCUGUUGCCUACAAGCUGCGAGAGCUACUUCGGUAGUGAUCGCGUGCCUUUUGUAUAAUGAGUCAGCGAGUUACUCUACCGUGCGAGGUUAAGCGAAAGCGUAGCCGUAGUGAAAGCGAGGCUUAAUAGGCCGACUAGUACGUUGGAGUAGACCCGAAACCGGGUGAUCUAUCCAUGAGCAGGUUGAAGCAAGGGUAAAGCCUUGUGGAGGACCGAACCGUCAACGGCUGAAAACGUUCCGGAUGACUUGUGGAUAGGGGUGAAAGGUCAAUCAAACCCGGUGAUAGCUGGUUCUCCCCGAAAUAUAUUGAGGUAUAGCCUCGGGAAUUGAUUAGCGGAGGUAAAGCACUGACAGAGCUAGGGGUCCUACCAGAUUACCAAACUCUAUCAAACUCAGAAUGCCGCUUAAUUGUAUCCCGGGAGUCAGACGGCGGGUGCGAAGGUUCGUCGUCAAAAGGGAAACAGCCCAGACCAACAGCUAAGGUCUCCAAAUCCAUGCUCAGUGGUGAAGGUAGUGGAACCGUUUAGACAGCCAGGACGUUGGCUUAGAAGCAGCCAUCGUUUAAAGAAAGCGUAAUAGCUCACUGGUCUAAUGGCUCUGCGCCGAAAAUGUAACGGGGCUAAGCAUGGUACCGAAGCUUUGGCAAUCCCCUUUGGGGAUUGGGUAGGGGAGCGUUCGCUGCGGGCUGAAGGUGUAUCGGAAGGUAUGCUGGACUGCAGUGAAGUGAUUAUGCUGACAUGAGUAACGAUAAAAUAUGUGAAAAACAUAUUCGCCGAAAACCCGAGGUUUCCUGGGUAAAGGUAAUCUUCCCAGGGUUAGUCGGAUCCUAAGGUGAGGGUGAAAGCCGUAACCGAUGGAAAACAGGUUAAUAUUCCUGUACUUGUUGUGUAGCGCGAUGGAGGGACGCAGGAAGAUAGGCGGGCCGGGUGUUGGAUAUCCCGGUGCAAGCGUGUAGGAAUAUCCGGUAGGCAAAUCCGCCGGACGAAUCUGAGACGCGAGUCCGUGGGCGCAAGCCCUGAAGCCGUUGAGUCUAUGCUGCCUAGAAAAGCUCCUAAGUUUAUCCACAGCAAUCCGUACCGCAAACCAACUCAGGUGGGUGGGAUGAACAAUCCAAGGCGCUCGAGAGAAUCUGGCCAAGGAACUCGGCAAAAUAACCCCGUAACUUCGGAAGAAGGGGUGCUCUCUAGGGUGACAUGUUUAACAUAUGAAGCCCCGGGGAGCCGCAGUGAAUUGGUGGUGGCGACUGUUUACUAAAAACAUAGGUCUGUGCGAAGUCCUAAAGACGACGUAUACGGACUGACGCCUGCCCGGUGCUGGAAGGUUAAAAGGAGGGGUCAGCGCAAGCAAAGCUCCGAAUUGAAGCCCCAGUAAACGGCGGCCGUAACUAUAACGGUCCUAAGGUAGCGAAAUUCCUUGUCGGGUAAGUUCCGACCUGCACGAAUGGCGUAACGAUCUCCACACUGUCUCGGCCAGAGACUCGGUGAAAUUGCAGUCGCGGUGAAAAUUCCGUGUACCCGCAGAAAGACGGAAAGACCCUGUGCACCUUUACUAUAGCUUGACAUUGGAUUUUGGGCCUGCAUGUGUAGGAUAGGUGGGAGGCUGUGAACCCUGUACGCCAGUAUGGGGGGAGCCAUCCUUGAAAUACCACCC